Molecule: RNA transcript, 636 nt
Organism: Cervus elaphus (red deer)
Lineage: Eukaryota; Metazoa; Chordata; Mammalia; Artiodactyla; Cervidae
Gene name: M-phase phosphoprotein 6-like
Exons: 1
Source: RefSeq, a predicted model, not a curated record
CAGUAUGGCGGCCGAGCGCAAAACUAAGUUGUCCAAGAACUUGCUGCGCAUGAAGUUCAUGCAAAGGGGACUGGACUCGGAAACCAAGAAACAACUAGAAGAGGAAGAAAAGAAAAUCAUUAGUGAAGAGCACUGGUACUUGGAUUUGCCUGAGCUGAAAGAGAAAGAGUUUCAUUAUAGAAGAGCAGAGUUUCUUGUUGUGUGAAGAUCUUCUCUACGGAACAAUGUCAUUCAGAGGAUUUAAUCCUGAGGUUGAGAAAUUAAUGCUUCAGAUGAAUGCUAAGAACAAAGCAGAAGAAGUUGAAGAGCAAACAGUGGAGCUCGAUGUCUCAGAUGAAGAAAUGGCUAAAAGAUAUGAGACCUUGGUGGGGACAAUUGGGAAAAAGUUUGCCAAGAAAAGAGACCGUGCCAUUUACGAAGAAGAUGAAAAUGGAGACAUAAAACCAAUUAAAGCAAAGAAGAUGUUCUUAAAGCCCCAAGAUUAAAGUGGAGGCCUUAGGAUAUGGCUCAGGGAUGAGGGCAUGUUUUGGAACGCACUCUGUCGGCUCCUCUGUAGUCAUUAGGGCCGUAAUGUUUAUGUGUAAAGAAAUGUAUACUUUUGGAAACAUGCUGUUUUUGGAACAGACGUGUGAUGGA